This is a long non-coding RNA of Oncorhynchus kisutch (coho salmon), 951 nucleotides long. RefSeq lists it as uncharacterized. NCBI's taxonomy places the organism in Eukaryota, Metazoa, Chordata, Actinopteri, Salmoniformes, Salmonidae. The transcript has 5 exons. The record is from RefSeq and is a predicted model, not a curated record.
AAUAUGACAGGCCAGAGGAGGGUUAUGUGCGGGGACAGACUGAGGGAACUACGUAGCUUGUCAGAUACGUUUCGAAUUAAUAAGCCAAGGGGAAUCUCCAGAAGUGUAGAGCCCCAUUGUUAUGGUAUCAGCUUGUAGGAUGAGUUUCAUUAAUACAGGUUACUGUAUCAUCAAUAGCACAACUGUGGAAAAUACAACUGUGGAAAAUACAACUGUGGAAAAUACAACUGUGGAAAAUGCAGUGCAGUAAAUAUACUGCUAGGUGGUUUCGAGCCCUGCAUGCUGAUUGGCUGAAAGCAGUGGUUUAUCACGACUACAGUGGUCUGGCUGGUGUGUCUGGCUAACGCUGUGGAGCUGGUGGGGGUGAGCAGAGACAGCUGGGAUGACGUAUGGGAGGCAGAAUGACCAUGAUCCCUUUCCUGAGACACACAUGCUCAGACUCAUGGAUGUCAUUGUUUGGACAUGGUAGACUUUAUCUCAGUGAACUGUGAUCCAGUGAAGGCAAUGAUUGAUGACCUAAUUCAGAGACUGUUUGGCGCCCUGCAGAUAUCCCUCAUGAUCUCCAAACAAAAUCCUUCCCCAGUUCAAGGCGGUUCCAGAACCUUCUGCUGAGGGUGUAGCAGGAGGAGGUCUGGACUCUCUGUCCUCCCUCAGGGCCAAGUAGGACAAACUAGAGCUGAUGCUCAAAGAGCAGGUGUAGAUGAUGCUCUCUGGGACUAGUAAUGCUGAGAGUCAUAUCCAGGCCUACAGGCUGGAGCUGGACAGGUUCAGGGCUCGUUGGGACCAGCUGAAGCCCAGAGACUAGAUCACAGAGACGGGAGACCAAGCAGCCCUGCUGGCUUCUGUCCAAACUAUCAGAGACAAGAGACAGGAGUUCCAGGAGCUGGAGGUCACACACACACACACACACACACACACUGCUGUAGGUUGCACACACGCACACUCACGCAC